This is a long non-coding RNA of Oreochromis aureus, 1014 nucleotides long. Lineage: Eukaryota; Metazoa; Chordata; Actinopteri; Cichliformes; Cichlidae. The record is from Ensembl.
UUUUGGGACUUACAUCCGGUUCCGGUUCAAGCGCAGAUUAAUAGAACUACAGACUGAUAGUGUUACUGACGGAAUCUACAGCGUCUUGAGCUGAAUUAAGACUUCAGAAGUCAUUCGUCAUGUCGAAUGACCAGCGGAUAAACUCUCAGGUGAAGAGCCUGAGGCCGGUGACAGUCCAGUUCUACUCUAAUUACAUCCUUACGGUGGCUCACAGGACAAGGCGACAUUCCUGUCCUGCCAGAAGAGAAGAGAAACUUCAGAGUCUUCAUGAAGUUCAACCAAAACCUGUCAUAUGGAAUAUGACAGGGGUCUCAAACUCCAGUCCUCGAAGGCUGGUGUCAUGCAACUUUUCCAUGCCCUCGAUAACUGGAGUUUGAGACUCCUGCCGUAUGGUGUUCAUGCAGUUUUCUACCCCACAGUUACAGCAUGUCUGACUGCCAGUUCAGCAUAUUCAAAAAUAUAUGAUGAGUUUAAGCAUGUGAUGACAAAGGCCUUGCAUUAUGGUGUUUGUCAUCACAUGUCACAGACAUCUGGAUGAUCAUUUGGAAUAAACAAAAAAACGAAUAACUUGUUACUUCAUCUUUUAUCUUUAUUAUUAUUGUUGUUCUUAUUUUACAUUUUUCAUUGUUAGGCAUUAGGUUUAUUUGUAGUAGUCCUUUCCAGCUUCUCUCCCUCUUCCAUAUUACUGUGUCAGCUUGUCAGCAUCUAUUUGGGGUUGGGAAUGGAACAGGAAGUAAGGAACAGAAAGUGCCAUUUAAACCAGGAGAGGUUCUUAUAUUUCAGAAGAAGGGAUUAAUUCAAAAGAAAUGACCUCAAUGCCAUAUUUUAUUUAGGAACCCUAGAGAGCACUUUGCAAAAUAACACAUUCUUAUAAUUUCACCCUCAGAUGAGCCAAGCUACGACUGUCAGGGAAGGUGAUGUAGGUACAGAGCAUGUGAGAGUGGUUAAGUUAAUGUCUCUUGUCUAGAUGAAGGCACAGGAGGGAUCAAUGGCACAGCGUAGAGAUUCAGUAUC